CAGUCGCCGCGGUAAUACGGAGGGUGCGAGCGUUAAUCGGAAUAACCGGGCGUAAAGGGCACGCAGGCGGUGACUUAAGUGAGGUGUGAAAGCCCCGGGCUUAACCUGGGAAUUGCAUUUCAUACUGGGCCGCUAGAGUACUUUAGGGAGGGGUAGAAUUCCACGUGCAGCGGUGAAAUGCGUAGAGAUGUGGAGGAAUACCGAAGGCGAAGGCAGCCCCUUGGGAAUGUACUGACGCUCAUGUGCGAAAGCGUGGGGAGCAAACAGGAUUAGAUACCCCCGUAGUCCCUGUCUCUUAUAC
RNAcentral lists this ribosomal RNA (301 nucleotides) under uncultured bacterium. Its description in RNAcentral is "partial 16S ribosomal RNA". It matches the Rfam family "Bacterial small subunit ribosomal RNA", at positions 509 to 807 of the family's 1533-position model. The record is from RNAcentral.